This 75-nucleotide transfer RNA is filed under the name Streptomyces phage Frankenweenie. Its description in RNAcentral is "tRNA-Asp". It matches the Rfam family "tRNA". From Rfam's summary of the family: Transfer RNA (tRNA) molecules are approximately 80 nucleotides in length. The record is from RNAcentral. Lineage: Duplodnaviria; Heunggongvirae; Uroviricota; Caudoviricetes.
GGUCUCGUGGCUCAGUUCGGCAGAGCACUCGGUUGUCAUCCGAGAGGUCGCGGGUUCAAAUCCCGUCGGGACCGC